UACGUAGGUGGCAAGCGUUGUCCGGAUUUACUGGGCGUAAAGGGAGCGUAGGCGGACUUUUAAGUGAGAUGUGAAAUACUCAGGCUCAACCUGGGGGCUGCAUUUCAAACUGGAAGUCUAGAGUGCAGGAGAGGAGAGUGGAAUUCCUAGUGUAGCGGUGAAAUGCGUAGAGAUUAGGAAGAACACCAGUGGCGAAGGCGACUCCCUGGACUGUAACUGACGCUGAGGCGCGAAAGCGUGGGGAGCAAACGGG
RNAcentral lists this ribosomal RNA (253 nucleotides) under uncultured bacterium. RNAcentral describes it as "partial 16S ribosomal RNA". It matches the Rfam family "Bacterial small subunit ribosomal RNA", at positions 524 to 776 of the family's 1533-position model. The record is from RNAcentral.